UGGGGAAUAUUGGACAAUGGGCGCAAGCCUGAUCCAGCAAUGCCGCGUGUGUGAAGAAGGCCUUCGGGUUGUAAAGCACUUUUAUCAGGAACGAAAUACCACGGGUUAAUAACCUAGGGGGCUGACGGUACCUGAGGAAUAAGCACCGGCUAACUUCGUGCCAGCAGCCGCGGUAAUACGAAGGGUGCAAGCGUUAAUCGGAAUUACUGGGCGUAAAGGGUGCGUAGGCGGUUCGUUAAGUCUGUCGUGAAAUCCCCGGGCUCAACCUGGGAAUGGCGAUGGAUACUGGCGAGCUAGAGUGUGUCAGAGGAUGGUGGAAUUCCCGGUGUAGCGGUGAAAUGCGUAGAGAUCGGGAGGAACAUCAGUGGCGAAGGCGGCCAUCUGGGACAACACUGACGCUGAAGCACGAAAGCGUGGGGAGCAAACA
RNAcentral lists this ribosomal RNA (427 nucleotides) under uncultured Rhodanobacter sp. RNAcentral's name for it is "bacterial SSU rRNA". It matches the Rfam family "Bacterial small subunit ribosomal RNA", at positions 355 to 774 of the family's 1533-position model. Lineage: Bacteria; Pseudomonadati; Pseudomonadota; Gammaproteobacteria; Lysobacterales; Rhodanobacteraceae. The record is from RNAcentral.